Molecule: ribosomal RNA, 394 nt
Filed under: Oithona sp.
Lineage: Eukaryota; Metazoa; Arthropoda; Copepoda; Cyclopoida; Oithonidae
Description: partial small subunit ribosomal RNA
Rfam family: Eukaryotic small subunit ribosomal RNA
Source: RNAcentral
AUUCCAGCUCCAAUAGCGUAUAUUAAAGUUGUUGCGGUUAAAAAGCUCGUAGUUGGAUCUCGGCGGGCAGGGGGUGGUUCGCCCUUCAGCGCUACUGCCCCGCUUUGCCCGUGUGAUUGGCGGAGGUUUCGGGGUGCUCUUCGUUGAGUGACUCGGAGCGCCGUCAGGUUUACUUUGAAAAAAUUAGAGUGCUCAAAGCAGGCUUUUCACGCUUGAAUAUUCGUGCAUGGAAUAAUGGAAUAGGAACUCGUUUCUAUUUUGUUGGUUUUCGGAAAUCGAGUUAAUGAUUAACAGGGACAAUUGGGGGCAUUAGUAUUCAGACGACAGAGGUGAAAUUCUUGGACCGUCUGAAGACUGACUACUGCGAAAGCAUUUGCCAAGAGUGUUUUCAUCG